GAUAGAGGAUGGGUAAAGGAUGGAUAGAUGAAUGGAUGGAUAGAGGUGUGGAUAGAGGAGUGGAUAGAGGUGUGGAUAGAGGAUGGAUAGAUGAAUGGAUGGAUAGAGGAGUGGAUAGAGGAUGAAUAGUUGAGUGGCUGGAUAGAGGAAUGGAUAGAGGAGUGGAUAGAGGUGUGGAUAGAGGAUGGAUAGAUGAAUGGAUGGAUAGAGGAGUGGAUAGAGGAUGAAUAGUUGAGUGGCUGGAUAGAGGAAUGGAUAGAGGAUGAAUAGAUGAGUGGAUGGAUGGAUGGAUAGAGAAGUGGAUGGAUGAAUGGAUACAAGAUGGAUAGAGAAGUGGAUGAAUGGAUGGAUAGAGGAGUGGAUAGAGGAUGGAUAGAGAGUGGAUGGAUAAAUGGAUAGAGGAUGAAUAGAUGAGUGGAUGGAUAAAUGGAUAGAGGAUGAAUAGAUGAGUGGAUGGAUGAAUGGAUAGAGGAUGGAUAGAGAAGUGGAUGGAUGAAUGGAUAGAAGAUGGAUAGAGAAGUGGAUGGAUGAAUGGAUAGAAGAGUUGGUGCCAGAUUUCUUGACCUGAGGGAAGCACUUGAUGCAGCGAGUCCUAGCUAUGAAUCAGGUGAAGUCGGACGUCGGAGUCGGACGUCUCUCCAGAACAGUGGGUUAAACAAUAUAUAAUAUAUAUAAUGAUAUAUAAUAAUAUAAUAAAGUGUCUUCGAGCGGCUCCGAGUUGACUGAAGGAACACGG
Ictalurus punctatus (channel catfish) is the source of this 736-nucleotide long non-coding RNA. The record is from Ensembl. Lineage: Eukaryota; Metazoa; Chordata; Actinopteri; Siluriformes; Ictaluridae.